Molecule: ribosomal RNA, 238 nt
Filed under: uncultured bacterium
Lineage: Bacteria
Description: partial 16S ribosomal RNA
Rfam family: Bacterial small subunit ribosomal RNA
Source: RNAcentral
GAUCCUGGCUCGGGAUGAACGCUGGCGGCGUGCUUAACACAUGCAAGUCGAGCGAAGCACUCUGCUUUGAUUCUUUCGGGAUGAAGAGCAUUGUGACUGAGCGGCGGACGGGUGAGUAACGCGUGGGUAACCUGCCUCAUACAGGGGGAUAACAGUUAGAAAUGGCUGCUAAUACCGCAUAAGACCACAGCACCGCAUGGUGUAGGGGUAAAAACUACGGUGGUAUGAGAUGGACCCG